GGCCCUUCCUGGCUCAGAACCCAGGGCUCCAUGGCUCCAGCUGUGAGGAAGUGCAUUGCUGAACUGACAAAGAAUCCAUCCUCAAAUAUUCCCGGACUUACUUAUUUUAAGAGCUUAUUAUUCUGCUUACUGCACAAUUCUGCAAGUUCUCCAACCAUCUUAUUUCUAGAGGAUUUAUGAUAAGUAGAAC
RNAcentral lists this long non-coding RNA (190 nucleotides) under Numida meleagris (helmeted guineafowl). RNAcentral describes it as "lncRNA (ENSNMEG00000018191.1)". Lineage: Eukaryota; Metazoa; Chordata; Aves; Galliformes; Numididae. The record is from RNAcentral.